AGAGUUUGAUCAUGGCUCAGGACGAACGCUGGCGGCGUGCUUAACACAUGCAAGUCGAACGGAAAGGCCCUUCGGGGUACUCGAGUGGCGAACGGGUGAGUAACACGUGGGUGAUCUGCCCUGCACUUUGGGAUAAGCCUGGGAAACUGGGUCUAAUACCGAAUAGGACCACGCGCUUCAUGGUGUGUGGUGGAAAGCUUUUGCGGUGUGGGAUGGGCCCGCGGCCUAUCAGCUUGUUGGUGGGGUAAUGGCCUACCAAGGCGACGACGGGUAGCCGGCCUGAGAGGGUGACCGGCCACACUGGGACUGAGAUACGGCCCAGACUCCUACGGGAGGCAGCAGUGGGGAAUAUUGCACAAUGGGCGCAAGCCUGAUGCAGCGACGCCGCGUGAGGGAUGACGGCCUUCGGGUUGUAAACCUCUUUCAAUAGGGACGAGGCGCAAGUGACGGUACCUAUAGAAGAAGCACCGGCCAACUACGUGCCAGCAGCCGCGGUAAUACGUAGGGUGCGAGCGUUGUCCGGAAUUACUGGGCGUAAAGAGCUCGUAGGUGGUUUGUCGCGUUGUUCGUGAAAACUCACAGCUUAACUGUGGGCGUGCGGGCGAUACGGGCAGACUAGAGUACUGCAGGGGAGACUGGAAUUCCUGGUGUAGCGGUGGAAUGCGCAGAUAUCAGGAGGAACACCGGUGGCGAAGGCGGGUCUCUGGGCAGUAACUGACGCUGAGGAGCGAAAGCGUGGGGAGCGAACAGGAUUAGAUACCCUGGUAGUCC
RNAcentral lists this ribosomal RNA (771 nucleotides) under uncultured bacterium. RNAcentral's name for it is "bacterial SSU rRNA". It matches the Rfam family "Bacterial small subunit ribosomal RNA", at positions 8 to 796 of the family's 1533-position model. The record is from RNAcentral.